Molecule: long non-coding RNA, 4406 nt
Organism: Loxodonta africana (African savanna elephant)
Lineage: Eukaryota; Metazoa; Chordata; Mammalia; Proboscidea; Elephantidae
Exons: 4
Source: RefSeq, a predicted model, not a curated record
CAAUGCCAUUAAACAAUAUGUGUACUGUUUAAUGAGAAACUAGUUUGUUCUGUAAACCUUCCUCUAAAGUUUUUUUUUUUUUUAAAAAAGUCAGUCUCUAGGCCUUUCUUCAGAGCUACUUCCGGGUGGAGUCAAACCUCCAAACUUUUGGUUAGCAGCCAAGCACAUUAACUGAAUGUACCACCCAGGUACAGCCAGCCCUUUGCCUGCCUCACUGUGCAUUCAGUGUGUGAGGACAGUGGGGAGGGGGCUGGCAACCCCCCAGGUCUCCCCGAACUUUGAGUCUUCAUCUUUCAUCAUCUGCUUUAUGACUCAAGACAUGGUAUGAAGACCUCCCAGAGGAAACACGGGGCCCCUGGACCCCGUAAAGGCUGUGCAGAGUUCCCCAGCUCCCAGAACACCUGUUCCAAAUAACGCAGGGGAACAACUGAGGCUGGGAGGGGAACUGUGGCUGAAAUGAAAAAAGACAGCUGGCAGGCUUUCAAAGGCGCGGCCAUCAGGAAGCAGGAGAACCAUUUAGUCAUCUUAGCACCCGCCCAGAGCCUCACAGAGUGUUACUUUAGAGAACACAGGGGCUUGCAGAGAAGAGAGAACCAGGGGCUUGUAGAGAAUCAGCCCAACUGAUUCACUCCUGCUUUCUUUGCACUGUCACUUGCCCUAACAUUUCUAGUUCGUCAGAGAAUAAAGCCCUUGCUCAGAAAAGAGCCAACACCACAGGGGCUCUGGAGCCAGAUAGACCUGGCCGAGAACCCCAGCUCCCCUCUUACCAGCUGGGUUUGCUCUUGGGCAGAUAGAUGACUUAACCUCUUGAAGCUUCAGUUUCUUCCUCUGUAAAAUGGGGUCAUAAUAUCUACUCCAUGAAGAAAGGCCAGGGAAUCUAUUUCCAAAAAUGAAAAUAUGAAAUAUGAACCAAUGAAAACCCUAUGAAUCACAAUGGUCCGAUCCUGUUGUGCAUGGGGUUGCCACAAGGGUUGGGAGGGUGACUUGAUAGCAACUAAGAACAACAGCGUCUGUGUGGCAGAUAUUUUGUUGUUGUUAGGUGCUCUUGAGUCAAUUUCAACUCAUAGUGACCCCAUGGGACAAAGCGGAGCUGCCCCAUAGGUUUUUCUUGGCUGUAAUCUUUAUAGAAGCAGAUCACCAGGUCUUUCUCCCAUGGAGCUGCUGGGUGCGUUCGAACCACCAACCUUUCCGUAAGAAGCAGAGCAUUUAAAUAUUUGCAGCAGCAGUGGGAUGUUUAUUAAAUGGGAUAAGUCCAUUGGCUCAAAUUAGUCACAUGACCCCAACCCAACCAUAGGAAGCACACGGAGUGUUUGACUGUCCUGGGAUCUGGCAUCUGAUGGAUUCCUCUGCCCUUUGACUUCCAGUUGGAUUCAGUCAUGGAAAAUGAGCAUUGGGAAAUUGCCAGCAGGAAUGGGAAGUCACCAGUAGGAAAUCUGGAAGUUGGAGGAGAUGGAAGAAUGGUUUACCACCCCACCUCCCCACUGUAGCAUGGCUACCUCCUCUCCCUACAGAAAUAAAAGAAAAGGGAAGACAGCAGAGAGUUGGGGACCUCAUGCCACCAAGAAAGGAGCACCAGGAGUAGAGCACGUCCUUUGGACCCGGGGUUCCUGGACAGAGAACUUCCUAGACCAGGGAAAAAUUGAUGAGAAGGAUCUCCUUCCAGAGCCUACAGAGAGAGAAAGCCUUCCCCUGGAGCUGAACACCCUGAAUCUGGAUUUCUAGCCUACUAGACUGUGAAAAAAUAAAUUUCUGUUUGUUAAAGCCAUCCACUUGUGGUAUUUCUGUUAUAGCAGCACUAGGUGACUAAGACACUCAAUAACAAAAACCACUAACAUUUGUGGAACAGUGGCUAGGUACUUGGCAAUGGUCUAAGCUUUUUACAUAUGUUGAUAAAUAUAAUCCUCAUGUUAAUACUAUAGGGUUGCUAUGAGUCAGAAUCGACUUGACAGCAAUGGGUAUUAACCCUUUGAAAUAGGGUCUAUUAUUUUCCCGAUAACAAAACCAAGAAACAGAGAGGUUAAGUAACUUGCCUAAGAUCACACAGCUCUGAAUGAUAGCACUUGGAUUUCAACCGAGGCAGUCUAGUUCAAGAGCCCUUACUCUUUUUUUUUUUUUUUCCACUUGUGCUUUAGGUGAAAGUUUACAUCUCAAAUUACUUUCUUAUACAAAAAUGUAUACACGUAUUGUUAUGUGACACUACUUACAAUCCCUGUGAUGUGACAGCAGACUCCCCCUUUCCACCCAGGUUUCCCAUGUCCACCCAACCAGCUCCUGUUCCUUCCUGCCUUCUCAUCCUGCCUCCAGACAAAAGUCACCCAUUUGGUCUUGUGUGUCUGCUUAAACUAAGAAGCACACUCUUUACGAGUAUUAUUUUAUGUUUUAUAGUUCAGUCUAAUCUUUGUCUGAAGAGUGGGCUUUGGGAAUGGUUUUAGUUCCGAGUUAAAAGAGAGUCCGGGGGCCAUGGCUUCGGGGGUUCCUUCAGUCUCAGUCAGGCCUUUAAGUCUGGUCUUUUUAUGUGAAUUUGAGCUCCGCUCCACAAUUUUCUCCUGCUCCCUCAGGGACUCUCUGUUGUAUUCUCUGUCAGGGCAGUCAUUGGUAGUAGCUGGGCACCAUCUAGUUCUUUUGGUCUCAGUCUGAUGGAGUCUCUGAUUUAUGUGCCCCUUUUGUCCCUUGGGCUAAUAUUUUCCUUGUGCCUUUGGUGUUCUUCAUUCUCCUUUGCUCCAAGUGGGUUGGGGCCAAUUGAUGCAUCUUAGAUGGCCACUUGCAAGCUUUUAAGACCCCAGACACCACUCACCAAAGUGGGAUGCAGAACAUUUUUUUAAUAAAUAUGUUAUGCCAAUUGACCUAGAUGUCCCCUGAAACCAUGGUCCCCAGACCCCAGACCCAGCUACUCUAUCCCUCAAGGUGUUCGGUUGUGUUCAGGAAACUUCUUAGCUUUUGCUUUAGUUCAGUUGUACUGACUUUCCCUGUAUUGUCCCUGUGUUGUCCUUCCCUUCGCCUAAGAUGAUUCUUGUGUACUACCUAGUUAGUGAAUUCCCCUCUCCCUCCCUCCCCACCCUCGUAACCAUCAAAGAAUGUUUUCUUUUGUGAUUAAACCUUUUCUUGAAUUCUUAAAAAUUUUUUUUUCAUACAGUAUGUGUCCUUUUGUGACUAAUUUCGCUCGGCAUAAUGCCCUCCAGAUUCAUCCAUGUUAUGAGGUGUUUUGCAAAUUCAUCAUUGUUCUUUAUCGUUGUGUGGUAUUCCACUGUGUGUAUGUAUCAUAAUUUGUUUAUUCAUUUGUCUGUUGAUGGGCACCUAUGUUGUUUCCAUCUUUUAGCUAUUGUGAACAGUGCUGCAAUGAACAUGGGUGUGCAUAUAUCUAUCCGUGUGACAUCUCUUAUUUCCCUAGGAUAUAUUCCAAGGAGCGGGAUUGCUAGAUGGUAUGGUACUUCUAUUUCUAGCUUUUUAAGGAAGUGCCAAAUUGAUUUCCAAGGUGGUUGUACCAUUUUACAUUUCCUCCAGCAGUGCAUAAGUGUUCCAGUCUCUCCACAACCUCUCCAACAUUGAUUAUUUUGUGUAAAAGCCCUUUUUCUUAACAUCUGUACUGCUGUACCACAUCCUGACUCAUCAGUCAGAAAAUUAAGAAAAAAAAAAUCAGUUGCCAUUGAAUUGACUCUGACUGAUGGCAACCCCAUGUGUGUCAGAGUAGAACUGUGCUCCAUAGGGUUUUCGGUGACUGAUUUUUCAGAAGUAGAUCACCAGGCUUUUCUUCUGAGGUGCCUCUGGGUGGACUUGAAUCUCCAACCUUCCAGUUAACAACCGAGCAUGUUAAACAUUGUACCACCUAAGGAAUCCAGCCAGAAAAUGUUGUUUUGUUAGGUGCCAUCUAGUUGAUUUUGACUCAUAGCGACCCCAUGUGACAGAGUAGAACCACCAAAUAGGGUUUUCUUGGCUGUAAAUCUUUAUCGAAGUAGAUCACUGGGUCUUUCUCCCUCAGAGCUGCUGGGUGGGCUUGUACUGCUAACUUUUUGGUUAGCAGCUCAGUGCUUAACGAUUGCACCACCAAAACUCCUUAUUCAGGGAAUACCCAAACCAAACUUACUGCUGUCACGUUGAUUCCAACUCAUUGUGACCCUAUAACCCAGUAAUUAUCAAUGUAUGCUAAUUGCAUGUUUGGUCAAUUUCAGACUGCAGAAGUUGGUAAAAAUCUUCAUUUUCUUCAUCUUGGGCCUUAGUGGCUGGUGCAUAAAUUUGAAUAAUAGUCGUAUUAACUGGUCUUCCUUGUAGGCAUAUGGAUAUUAUCCUAUCAUUGACAGGGCUGUACUUCAGGAUAGAUCUUGAAAUUUUUUUUUUUUUGACAAUGAAUGCAAUGCCAUUCCUUUUUAAGCUGUCAUUUCUGGCAUAGUAGAUAAUAUGGUUGUCUGAUU